GGGCCGGUAGCUCAGGGGUAGAGCGGUAGACUGCAGUGCAUCAUCUAUACAGGCGAUCAUACUCGUUUUCUAUAGGUCACCGGUUCGACUCCGGUUCGGCCCU
RNAcentral lists this transfer RNA (103 nucleotides) under Aaosphaeria arxii CBS 175.79. It matches the Rfam family "tRNA". Rfam says of the family: Transfer RNA (tRNA) molecules are approximately 80 nucleotides in length. Their secondary structure includes four short double-helical elements and three loops (D, anti-codon, and T loops). Further hydrogen bonds mediate the characteristic L-shaped molecular structure. tRNAs have two regions of fundamental functional importance: the anti-codon, which is responsible for specific mRNA codon recognition, and the 3' end, to which the tRNAs corresponding amino acid is attached (by aminoacyl-tRNA synthetases). tRNAs cope with the degeneracy of the genetic code in two manners: having more than one tRNA (with a specific anti-codon) for a particular amino acid; and 'wobble' base-pairing, i.e. permitting non-standard base-pairing at the 3rd anti-codon position. Lineage: Eukaryota; Fungi; Ascomycota; Dothideomycetes; Pleosporales. The record is from Rfam by way of RNAcentral.